GACGUAGGGCGCGAGCGUUGUCCGGAUUUAUUGGGCGUAAAGAGCGUGUAGGCGGCCAUACAGGUCAGCUGUGAAAACUCGAGGCUCAACCUCGAGAUGUCGGCGGAAACCAUCUGGCUAGAGUCCGGAAGAGGAGAGUGGAAUUCCUGGUGUAGCGGUGAAAUGCGCAGAUAUCAGGAAGAACACCCGUGGCGAAGGCGGCUCUCUGGGACGGUACUGACGCUGAGACGCGAAAGCGUGGGGAGCGAACAGG
Molecule: ribosomal RNA, 253 nt
Filed under: uncultured bacterium
Lineage: Bacteria
Description: partial 16S ribosomal RNA
Rfam family: Bacterial small subunit ribosomal RNA
Source: RNAcentral